RNAcentral lists this transfer RNA (73 nucleotides) under Ailuropoda melanoleuca (giant panda). It matches the Rfam family "tRNA". Rfam says of the family: Transfer RNA (tRNA) molecules are approximately 80 nucleotides in length. Their secondary structure includes four short double-helical elements and three loops (D, anti-codon, and T loops). Further hydrogen bonds mediate the characteristic L-shaped molecular structure. tRNAs have two regions of fundamental functional importance: the anti-codon, which is responsible for specific mRNA codon recognition, and the 3' end, to which the tRNAs corresponding amino acid is attached (by aminoacyl-tRNA synthetases). tRNAs cope with the degeneracy of the genetic code in two manners: having more than one tRNA (with a specific anti-codon) for a particular amino acid; and 'wobble' base-pairing, i.e. permitting non-standard base-pairing at the 3rd anti-codon position. Lineage: Eukaryota; Metazoa; Chordata; Mammalia; Carnivora; Ursidae. The record is from Rfam by way of RNAcentral.
GCCUGGUUGGCUCAGUCUGUGGGGUGUGUGACUCUUGAUCUUGGGGUUGUGAGUUCAAACCCCACAUUGGGUA